CGGGGCGUGGCGCAGCCUGGUAGCGCGCCUGCUUUGGGAGCAGGAAGUCUUCGGUUCGAAUCCGGACGCCCCGA
This 74-nucleotide transfer RNA is filed under the name Bradymonas sediminis. It matches the Rfam family "tRNA". Rfam says of the family: Transfer RNA (tRNA) molecules are approximately 80 nucleotides in length. Their secondary structure includes four short double-helical elements and three loops (D, anti-codon, and T loops). The record is from Rfam by way of RNAcentral. Lineage: Bacteria; Deltaproteobacteria; Bradymonadales; Bradymonadaceae.